Molecule: long non-coding RNA, 14418 nt
Filed under: Brassica napus (rape)
Lineage: Eukaryota; Viridiplantae; Streptophyta; Magnoliopsida; Brassicales; Brassicaceae
Description: long non-coding RNA (BNAP_LNC012525)
Source: RNAcentral
ACACUAUAGAUCAAAAUAUAAAAUCAUAUUAAGCUGCAACAAUUUUAAAUUCAAAAUCAGUAUAUGUUUCUAUAUCUUUUGUAAGUUAUCUCAGAUAUUUUCUUGUGGGAAAUUAGUAUCUAAUAUUGUCUACAUUGUUAUUACUGUUCAUAUUAGUGCUAAUUUAAGUAUAGUGGAAAAUUAGACUGUUAAAUAAAACCAAAAGUUGUCGACGGUCGGUUAAAUAUUAAAUCCUGGUAAUAUAAGAUAAAAUAAAAAAAUUAUCAACCUAAUCGCUUAAAGUUGAAGUUAGGUUCACACUUUAGAGAUUCAUCAUCAAUCUUCGCGCACGCAUGCUAUUUACCCGUUAUUUGCUUGAACAAAAAUUAGGUUCACUCUAGGGAAACCAUCGCUUAUUAUCAAUCAAAAUACUACAUAAAAUAAUAAUAAAAUAUUUUUUUAAAAAAAAAAUCUGAAAUAAUUAGAAAAAAAAAUAACGCCAAUUUUAAUGACGUUAACGUCACCAACUAAACCCUAAAUCUAAACCCUAAAUCCUAAAUAUUAAACUCAAACUCUAAAUCCUAAACGCAAACCCUAUACCUUAAACCCCAAUCCUAAACCCUAAACCUAAACCGUAAACCCUAAACCCAAACCCUAUAUUCUAACCCAAAUUCUAGACCCUAAACCCAAACCGUAAACUCUAAAUCCAAAUCCUAAAUCCAAAUCCUAGACUCUAAAUCCUUAACCCAAACCCUAGUCUCUAAACUCAAACCAUUUAUCCAAACUCAAUCUCUAGACCCUAAAUUCAAAUCGUAAACUCUAGACCCUAAGCCCAAAUCCGAUACCCUAAAAGUUUGGCUUAAUGUUGAUGUUCUUUUAGGGUAUAAGAUUUGUGUUUAAAGUCUAUGUUUGGGUUUAAGAUCUAGGGUUUGAGUUUAGGGUCUAGGGUUUAGAUUUAGGGUUUACGGUUUGGGUUUAGGGUUUAGGAUUUGGGUUUAAGGUAUAGAGUUUGGGUUUUGGGUUUAGAAAUAGGGUUUAGAAUUUAGGAUUUAAGGUUUAGGUAGUGGUGUUAGCGUCAUUAAUAUUUGCGUCAUUAUUUUUGUUCAACUAUUUUAGAUUUUUUAAUAAAAUUUAAUCGAUUUUAUUAUUAAUCUAAGUGAGAUUUUGAUUGGUAUUAAAAAGGAAUAUGAAUUUAAAGGAUCAUCCUAAAAGUUCACCUAAGUUUUGUUCUUAUUUUUUGAGUAAGAAAUCAUAGUUACUACAGUUUUAGUUAUUUUUUGUCAAUUAGCUGGAGAUAUAUAAUUGAGUAAGAAAUCACUGUGAAUAAUGUUUUUUUUAAACCGAAAAACAUGAAUAAUUUUUUUUCCUCCACAAUAAUUAACCUCGUAUCCUUUGUAGAAGAAUUUAAAGUAACACAUAACUAAGAGUGAUUGAUUAGGAUGUAAUUAUAAAAAUUUGCUAUAGAAUUUAGUUCGUAGAAUAAUUUGAUUUAGUUGUAUCUAAUAAUGUAACACUGUAACUGUAGGAACUAAAUGAAUAAAUAAAUAAAUUUAUGCAACAAUAUAUUUAAUGUUUUAGAAAAUAAGAUUUUUUAUGUUUAUUUUUUUUUGGUUUUAACUUUAAAAACUCGUUAAAUCAUGAUUGGCAAUUUAUUUCCCUCUAUCUUUUUUUAUUUUUCAUUUCAUCUCAACUACUUUAUUUUAGUCACUCCUAAAAUCUCAUUUUUCUUUAGCCAAAAGUUAAAACAGAAAAAUUCGCGAAUCCGACAUAAAAAGAAAAACAAAGCGAGAAAAUCUUUAAAUUUCCAGAGUCAAUUGUUUCCAUACGAAUGCUUUCGUAAGUAAAUCAGUUUUUGACUUUCACUGGUUGUGAUUAGAAUAUUCUGUAGAAACUAUUCAGUGAAAUAAUAGUUAAAAUAAAAUAAAAAUAUUAAAGCCAUCAUCACAGAAAAUCUCCCUCUAUAUAUACGUAAGCCUUGUACUAUCUCGUUUACUCAUCUCACGGAAUCUGAUCUGAUCUGAUCUGAUCUCAACAGCUGUCUUUUGUUCCAAACUGGUUAGUGUCUAAUUCCCUCCCUAGAUCUACUCUUGCUGAUCUUUUCUCAUCUGGGUCACUCUCAAUUGACUAAAAAAAGUCUCUUCCUUUUGCUCUUGUGUCCCAUCAAAUUCCCGAUUUGAUUUUGCUUUUUGUUUGUUGUUUCAUUCAGAGAGAAGUACAGCGAACAUGCCUCAUGGGAAGUUAGAGAAGAUGGCAUCGAUGGAUGUCCAUCUCCGUCAGUUGGUUCCUGGCAAAGUUAGUGAAGACGACAAACUUGUCGAGUACGAUGCUCUGCUUCUAGAUCGGUUCCUCGAUAUCCUCCAGGAGUUGCACGGCGAGGAUCUUCGUGAAACUGUACGUUUUAUGUAUAACCCAUUUGGCUAAAGAUCAUUAAAGUUAAAUCUAUGAUGAGUUUUAUGAAUAAAAGGUUUUGACUUUAUCAAGUUUCUCUCGAUCAUGGGUUAGAUUAGGGUUUUAAACGAUCAAAGAUUUAAACUUUUGGGGGUUGAGUUACUAUAAAGUAUAAACCCAUUUGGCUAAAGAUCAUUAAAGUUACAUCUAUGUUGAUUUUAUGAAUAAAGGUUUGACUUUGCAAUUAUCUCGAUCAUGGGUUAGAUUAGUGUUUUAAACGAAGAAAGGUUUGAACUUUUGGGGUUUGAAUUAAACCCAUUUGGCUAAAGAUCAUGAAAUUUACAUCUAUGAUGAUUUUAUGAACAAAGGUUUUGACUUUUCAAUUUUCUCGAUCAUGGGUUAGCUAAAGAUUUGAUCUUCUAUUGUUUGUAUAGGUUCAAGAGCUCUAUGAGCACUCUGCAGAGUACGAAGGGAAGCAUGAGCCAAAGAAGCUAGAGGAGCUAGGCAAUGUUCUCACGAGCUUAGAUCCAGGAGACUCCAUUGUUAUCGCUAAAGCCUUCUCCCACAUGCUCAACUUGGCUAAUCUGGCUGAGGAAGUGCAGAUUGCUUACCGUCGUAGGAUCAAGAAGCUGAAGAAAGGUGACUUCGUUGAUGAGAGCUCUGCUACUACCGAGUCUGAUCUCGAGGAGACUUUCAAGAAGCUUGUUGGUGAUCUCAACAAGUCUCCUGAAGAGAUCUUUGAUGCUCUCAAGAAUCAGACUGUUGAUUUGGUUUUGACUGCGCAUCCUACUCAGUCCGUGAGAAGAUCUUUGCUUCAGAAACACGGGAGGUUAGUAGUUUUGUUACUGAACUGAGCUUGCUUUGGAUCGAUGUUUUGGUGUUGAAGUUGACUUUCUUACAGGAUAAGAGACUGUCUGGCUCAGCUCUAUGCUAAGGAUAUCACUCCUGAUGACAAGCAAGAGCUUGAUGAGGCUCUACAGAGAGAGGUAAAAGCUUUGUCAUAUAAUGACUUUGUUUUUUAAUUCAAUCCUGAAAAUGUAAUGUAUUGAUUUGGGUUCUUUGGUCAGAUUCAAGCUGCAUUCAGAACAGAUGAAAUCAAAAGAACACCACCAACGCCUCAGGAUGAGAUGAGAGCUGGGAUGAGUUACUUCCAUGAAACUAUAUGGAAAGGUGUUCCUAAGUUUCUUCGCCGUGUAGACACUGCUCUCAAAAACAUCGGUAUCAAAGAGCGUGUCCCAUACAACGCUCCACUGAUUCAGUUCUCUUCUUGGAUGGGUGGUGACCGUGAUGGUAACCCAAGGGUGACACCUGAAGUCACUAGAGAUGUGUGUUUGCUGGCUAGAAUGAUGGCUGCUACUAUGUACUUUAACCAAAUCGAAGAUCUUAUGUUUGAGGUUUGCUCUCGGUUCUUUCUUUUCCGGUUUAGUCUAGUAUGUAUCCCAUUGAUUCAUUUUGUCCUACUUCUUUUGUAGCUGUCUAUGUGGCGUUGCAAUGAUGAGCUGCGCGUCCGUGCUGAUGAACUUCAUGUAAACAGGAGGAAAGACGCUGCAAAACAUUACAUUGGUACGAGAAGGAACCUGUCUUAGAGAACCUGUUUAUGUCUUAUGGAACUGAUCAUUCAUGUCUUGCAGAGUUCUGGAAGUCAAUUCCACCAACCGAACCAUACCGUGUGGUUCUUGGUGACGUAAGGGACAAGCUUUACCACACACGUGAACGAGCUCGUCAACUGCUCAGCAAUGGAACCUCUGAUGUCCCCGAGGAAGCUACUUUCAACAACUUGGAAGAGGUAAUCAUUUAUUGCAAUUUAGACUCCUUCGAUUCCCGGUUUAGUAUGUAAACCGAUUUUUUGUUGUUGUGUAGUUCUUGGAACCGCUUGAGCUUUGUUACCGAUCACUAUGCUCAUGUGGUGACCGUCCAAUAGCUGACGGAAGCCUUCUUGAUUUCUUGAGACAAGUCUCAACCUUUGGACUCUCUCUUGUGCGCCUUGACAUAAGGCAAGAAUCAGACCGCCACACCGAUGUACUGGACGCUAUCACAACGCAUCUAGAGAUCGGAUCGUACAGAGAUUGGUCCGAAGAGCGCCGCCAAGAAUGGCUUUUGUCUGAGCUAAGUGGCAAACGUCCUCUCUUCGGUUCUGACCUUCCUAAAACCGAAGAGAUCGCUGACGUUCUCGACACUUUCCAUGUCAUAGCCGAGCUUCCUUCAGACAGCUUCGGUGCCUACAUCAUCUCCAUGGCGACGGCUCCUUCUGAUGUGUUAGCCGUUGAGCUUUUGCAGCGCGAGUGUCAUGUGAAACGGCCUUUGAGAGUUGUCCCCCUCUUUGAGAAGCUAGCUGAUCUGGAAGCGGCUCCUGCGGCGGUUGCGAGGCUCUUCUCCGUUGAUUGGUACAAGAACCGGAUCAACGGUAAGCAAGAGGUCAUGAUCGGUUAUUCAGACUCAGGCAAAGACGCUGGUCGUCUCUCUGCUGCUUGGCAGCUGUACAAAGCUCAAGAGGAGCUUGUGAAGGUUGCUAAAGAGUACGGUGUGAAGCUGACGAUGUUUCACGGCCGUGGUGGGACUGUUGGAAGAGGAGGCGGACCGACUCAUCUUGCUAUAUUGUCUCAGCCGCCGGAUACUAUCAACGGCUCGCUCCGUGUCACGGUUCAAGGUGAAGUCAUUGAGCAGUCUUUUGGAGAGGAGCAUCUGUGCUUUAGAACGCUUCAGCGUUUUACUGCUGCAACGCUUGAGCAUGGGAUGCGUCCUCCGGUUUCUCCUAAACCGGAAUGGCGCGAGUUGCUAGAUGAAAUGGCGGUUGUUGCGACCGAAGAGUACCGGUCUGUUGUGUUCCAAGAGCCUCGCUUUGUCGAGUACUUCCGCCUUGUAAGUAUUCCAUCAUUAGCCAUGUGGUUUCGGUUUAUUUGGGUCGGUUAUUUUUGGUUUCGGUUAGUUCGGUUGGGCCACAAUCCCACCGGAAGUUUGGUUUGGUUAGCUUUAUUUUUAAAAUUUUACAAUUUACAGAAAGUAACUUUUCUUUUGUUACGGUUAGAUUUUGGGAUUUACAAAAAAUAUAAAAAAACUUGGAAAUUUUCGGUUAAAUUUGGUUCGAUUAUUUUAGUUUUUUUUUUCUUUUCGUAAAAGGGCUUGAUUAUUCUGGUUAUUUAUUAUAGUUUCGGAUUACUAGCUUAUUUUAUAUUUUUAAAAGAAAUUAAUUUUGAAAACCAAGCUAACCAAAACCAAAAGUAUUUUGAAAAGCUUUUGAAACUAAACCGGAACAAAACCGAAAGUUUCGAUUUUGGUUCGGUUCAGUUCAGCAGCUUUUGAAACUAAACCGGAACAAAACCGAAAGUUUCGAUUUUGGUUCGGUUCAGGUCAGCAGGGCUAUAUUUCAUGUUGACUUGGAUUCUUGAGUUCACUUUCACCUCACUCAUAAUCUUUUCUCUACGCAGGCCACACCGGAGCUAGAGUAUGGUCGUAUGAACAUAGGAAGCAGGCCUUCGAAGAGGAAGCCAAGCGGCGGCAUCGAGUCUCUCCGUGCCAUUCCAUGGAUCUUUGCUUGGACUCAAACGAGAUUCCAUCUCCCUGUGUGGCUUGGAUUCGGAGCAGCGAUCAGGCACGUGGUUGAGAAAGACGUCAAGAACCUACACAUGCUUCAGGACAUGUACCAACACUGGCCUUUCUUUAGAGUCACCAUUGAUCUAAUCGAAAUGGUGUUCGCUAAAGGAGAUCCAGGUAUCGCUGCCUUGUACGAUAAGCUUCUUGUUUCAGAGGAGCUUUGGCCUUUUGGUGACAAACUCAGAGCUAACUUCGAAGAGACCAAGAAACUCGUCCUCCAGGUUAAUACCAAAAACAGAGCUUUCUUGAUUUUCUUGAUUGGUGAUAAAACUCAGAACUAAUCGCUUUUGUUUGUUUUGCAGACUGCUGGGCACAAGGAUCUGCUUGAAGGCGAUCCUUACUUGAAGCAGAGACUGAGACUUCGUAACUCUUACAUCACCACACUCAAUGUCUGUCAAGCUUACACACUGAAGAGGAUCCGUGACCCGAGCUACAAUGUGACUCUACGGCCUCACAUCUCUAAGGAGAUUGCUGAAUCGAGCAAAGAACUCAUCGAGCUUAACCCGACGAGCGAAUACGCGCCUGGACUUGAAGAUACACUCAUCUUGACCAUGAAGGGUGUCGCUGCUGGUCUACAGAACACCGGUUGAGUAAAAAAAAACAGAGAUGAGUCUCUCUGUUUCUCCACACUGCUUUUUUUAUCUACGGAUUCAAAAAUAAUAAAUUAUGCGGUUGGAUUUAUUGGUUUGUUUAUGUGAAUCCACCGUCAAAGUGUUGAUCUUUGUGUACGAAUUACUCUUUCGAGACUAUGAACACAUGCUCUGUUUUUUUUAUCGAAUGUAACAAAACAGAGCAAGGGAAUCUCAUUCUUGUUUGUUUGUCUUUUACCUAACCUUCCUCUUUACUAUUUGAUUUCGGUUUGGUUUGUUCUAAACCGGAUAAUAAUAAAUAGAUUUUGGUUUAGUUUUUUGCCUCAUAUACUUUCGUUUGUCUCGGCUCAGUAACAUACAUGUCGGCUGAGUAAUGUGUAUGUGGUCCCGAGAAACGACAGACAUGUUUGAGAAAAGAAGCCGUUGAAGAAGGAAAGUAGUGGUGCAAGAAAACGACAUGGUGUUUGGGUCUUGUCUAUACGCCUUGCAUUUUUUUUAUUCUGUUACGCCUCAACGGUUGUAUUUAUUGUGGGGAAUUUAUUAUAGUGUACACUGUACGUGUCUGUUUUUUACUAAAGCGUACUUUAUGCGUAAUUAACUGUUAAGUAAUUAAGUACGUUUUUGAUUUUACUCUCGAAUGUAAAAGAGUCCACACUCGAAAAGUCGGUGUAUGUAAACCCACGCGCCUCCACUGGUUUUGAAGGUGGAAAAAUAAUAAGAAAAUGAGAAAUUUUAUGAAUAGGCUUUUCUGAUAUUUUAUGAAGACGACCAAAAAUAUUAUGGGAAAUUGGAUUGUAUCACACCGAAAAAAUCACUAAUUAGUUAAAUGUUCAAUUUACCUAGUACACCUAUACACAACAUGACUUUUGUAUAACAACUCUAUUUUGCCCUUUAACGUAACUGGUGAAAUCUGCUGAUAAAAAAUAAAAAAUUAAUAACUAUUAGUUGUCAAAAGUAAUUCAUGGCCGUUCAAUAUUUACAUUCUCUUUCUUUGUAAUUUUUUUCGUAAAUUUUCUACGAUGGCUAUGGUCUCACUCACAUAUUAGAUUAACAUUGUCAUCACCGCCUGAAUUCCGAGAAUAUUUUGUGAUCGAGAAACUUAUCUCAAAGUCCCAACUUUUUCCGCUUUCGAAACCGCCAGAGCGCCGCUGCAGUUAUAGCCUAAGCGGUGAAGAGCAUUACCUGGGCCGAUUCGCCUCCACAUCGUCGGUUCGACGGAGAUCCUUCUCACUUCUCUCUAAUUGCGUAGAUGAAUCAGCUGAUAGUGACACGUAAAAUGAUGAAUGAUAUGCGUCUACCGUAUUUGAGAUCACACUAACAAUGCUGCAACAAACAUGGAAGUCACAUACACAUGAAGUGAAAUUAACUGGCUUUACUAUUUCAUUGACAGAUUCUUGUUCUGUUCUACAUAGACGUAUUAAGUAAUGCAAUAUAUUAUGUUACUAUAUUAUUUUAUCAUGUUCCAUUACAUUUGACGAUUACUAAAGAGUGCUAUAUUUUAUUUAGAAAUAUAGUUUGUAAUUUUCUUAAGUUCUAACUAUCGUUACAUGUUUUUGAACCUGUAAAUUUUUUACUAUGAUAUAUAUUCUAUAGUUUAAUAUUACAUAUGUACUUUUUAGAUUUUGAUAUUUGAGUUUAUAUUUGGGUUAGAGUUUAGUGAUCCAGGUUUAAUUAGGGUUUAAUAUUUAAAAGGUUAUAGUUUAGUGAUUCAGGUUUAGGGUUUAAUAUUUAGAAGGUUAGGGUUUAGUGAUUAGAGUUUAGUUUUCGUUAUUUAAAAGGUGAGAGGGUAUAAUUGGAGGCAACAUUAAUUUCUUUCAUGCAAUCAUAGACAUUUCUUUAUUUCACCAAUAUGUACUAUGUUAUUUAUUUUGUUCAAUUCUAUUUGGGUUUAAGGUUUAUAUUUUGGAUACUAGUUUAGUGAUUAGAGUUUAUGGUUUAGUAUUUAGAAGGUGAUAUGAUAUGGUUGAGAUCAACAUUAACUUCUUCCUUGUAAUCAUAGACAUUUCAUAAUAUCACCAAUAUAUACUAUAUUAUUUAUUUUGUUUCAUUCUAUAUGGAGUUUGGCUUUAUAUUUAGGUCUAUAGUUUAUAUUUGCGUUUAAGAUUUACUUAUUAGAGUUUAGGGUUUAGAAUUAGAUGGUUGGGGUGGGAUUGGGAUAAUGUUUAGUGAAUAAAUAUGAGUUUGGGGUAAUGUUUAGUAUUUAGAGAUUGUGGGUGUGGUUUAAGUCCUAUACUAUUUUGGAUAUAUAAAAUAGAACACUCGCUGUAUAUGUAUGUGGUCAAUAAAUGUGUACCGUGUGUGUCUUUUUUUUUUCCAUAUGAAAUAGUUUUCGGUCAUUUCUGACGGUAUAUUAUUUGUAAUACAGCAUGAGAUAGAACACAUGUUUAUCGGAUAUUGCAAGUGAAAAAAGUAUAACCUGUUCAUUUUGGGUGUAUAUGUUUUUCGGAUAACAACACAAAAUAUAUUGGAAUUAUCUUUUAUUUUAAAAUAUAUCUUCCUGAUUUUGGAUAAGUUGUUUUAUUAUUAAUAAUAACUUAUCUAACCAAAUAAUUUUAAAUUCGUUUUUAUGUUUUAGUUAAUUUAUAGAUUUUAUUCAUAAGGGUAUAAACGAUAUUAACCACUCUAACUUUUAACGUGAGAGCUCGAUUCCAAAAAUUUACUUCGCAAAUAAUAGUAUAGAUUUUUUAUUCUAUCGAAAUCAUUGUCAUCUACUUAAUUUCACUUUGAAAUAUGACUAUUUUACAAAUAUGCCCUGUUAUGGGCCACUAAAGAAAACAAAAACAAAAGAGGAUAAAUACGUGUCAGUGGACGACGAAUACAAGGCACCGACUAUAGCCAGCGCAGUAUAGCACCGGCCAACCGUAAAGUACACAUAACCAACCUUACUACAUUUUUUUAGUUUUAAAAUAAUUUUGGGUUUCUAGUUAUCUUUAUUGUUGGGCGUUAUGUUCAUAAUUAUCUUCCCUUUACAACAACUUAUCAGUUAAAAAAUUAGUUAAAAGGAGCUUUGUAAUUUGUAUGGCGCAUAUUGUAUUCUCUUUUCUUUUCAAUCCCUUGAAGAGAGGGCAACUAACACAUUAAGAACAAAAGCAUUAGCUAAAGUUGCUUGCAUUAACAAACUAAAUCAUUCUCUAAUAAAUCCGUAUCUCCUUUUUGUAGUUGGUAACGACUAAAGUAUUUUUAAAAAUUAACUUUUAAAUCGGUCACCUAUCUCCCUUUUUCUUUGGUUGAAAGUUUAUAAUACAGUCAAAUAUACUCAUUCAUUCCGUUUUAUAUUAAGUGUCGUUGUAGAGAAAUUUCGACUUUCAAUAAAAAAUUUAUUAAUUUUAUUCAGCAAUUUAUUUUUGUAUUGGUUGAAAUAUAAUAAAACGUAUAGAUAAUUGUGUUUUUAUAUAGAAAAUAUACAAAAUUAAUUGUUUCCUUAGUCGGUGUGCAUAAACCCAAAACGACCCUUAAACAGAAAAAGUAGUAAUUAAUGAUAAAUAUAGAACUAUAUCUAAAUUCAUUUUUUAUAUCAUACAGGUAUACAUAUUUCAGUAAACUCAUUUUCCUAGAAUAUUUUUAGAUUUAGUUAGUUAUACAUGAAUUUGUGUAGAAUCUACAAAACAUAAAUAACAUCAACUUUGUAGGAAAAUGAAUAAAGUUAUAUCUUUUUAUUGAUGAAAAUGCUGUGACAAAGAGAACUGGAAUGAGAAGAUGGUUCACUACUCUCUAAGAGUAACAAAGGAUAAAAAAAUGAAGAAUCCAAAUCUUCCUCUUUUGCCCAUUUUGGUAAAGCCCCUUCCUCACUCGCAUACAAACUUCUCUUAUGUACAGAGUAAUCUCCAACCAAUAAACAGCUCUCAAUACCUAAACAAGUGAAGCUGAAGGAGCCAAAAUGAAUGUAAGAAGAACAUAGACAGAGACAUAGCACAGGGCAAUGAAGAGGGGGGGGGGAAUGAAUGAACAAAUCAUAAAGAGCUGAAAACUCUACACUAAUGAGGUUCCCCGGUAAUGAAGUUAAGUGGGAUUAUUGAGGGUAAUGAGUGAAAAGAGUGGAUUUUAUAGUGUAUUAACUGCUAUAGUGUCUCACUGAGUACUCCAAUACUUCUUUGCUUGGACAGACAAUCUCCUUUACACGAGUACCGUUCUUGUAUAUCUUCACUGUCGGUACAACCCUCACGUUCUCUGCAUUACCUAUAGACUGACAUUUAUCUAUGUCCACCUAACCAAUAAAACAAGGUAAGACAUUAGAGUCAAUCUCUUCCUAUGUUAUUAUGACAUGUUCAUAUUUAUGUAUGUCCACCUAACCAAUAAAACAAGGUAAGACAUUAGAGUCAAUCUCUUCCUAUGUUAUUAUGACAUGUUAUGACUUUACCUUGAGGAAGUGUAUAGAAGGAUAGCGAGUACAUAACGAGUCCACAAACGGAGAUAACUGCUUGCAUUAAUGAUCAGAGGCCGUCGAGAAGUGGAUAACCGAAACUCCUGGUAGAUUCAUGGCAGCUUUGUACUGUUCACGGCUGUAAACUUCCUCAACUUCACCACCGAACUCCAUAUUCAAAACUUCCUCUCCACGAGACUUCUUCAACGCGACUUGAGCAUGAAACAAAGAUUCAGCAACUUCCUUAUCAUGAGGCAGUUCCUUUCUCAACGCUUCGUAAUCACUCACUGCAGCCGCCCAUCUCUCCAUCUACAGUUCAAACAGAGAAAAUCUCAAUCCCUUAAGCUUACAACAAAAUUACAAGUUUGAUUAGUGUACCUUGCUAUUUGAGGCAGCUCUACGGAGAAGAGGCUUUGUGUAACGUGGCUGGAACCGCAGCGCGUGGUUACAAUCUUCGAUAGAGCGUUCCCACAUUCCAAGUUUGAACCAACAAGCUGCUCGGUUACAAUAUAGAAUAGCGUUGCAAGGGUCAAGCCUAAGGCCUUCUGCGUAAGCAGAGCUUGCUUCGGUGUAUCUUUCUGAUUUGUAGAGAUCGUUACCGCGAACACGAGCCCUAGCGACCAAUGUAACGGUAUUGUGUAACAUGGCAACUUCGUUGCUUCGUGGAUCUAAUUUGCUAGCUUUCUCAGCAGCCAUCACUGCAUUUUCAAACCUGCAAGAAGUCAUCAUCUGCUCUUUAACCUUUUUCUAAAAAACUGAUAUUAAUAGUUUUAUUUAACAUUGGUUUUCUUGAAUCUUACCUUCCUAAAGCCAUCUCCACUUGAGCUUUGACGAAAUGCGUAUAAGCUUCACAGGCCAUACCAGAGAACCGAGACUGAGAACAAGAUGCUGGAAACGGCUCUACUUUGGGAACUUCUAAUAGCUUUGAAUGGGCAGCAUCAAGCCGGUGAAGUUUCAAGAGUGUUUCUACUUUACACAUAGCUAGCUGCAUUUUUAAGACCAAUGUUUGCGCUUUAUAUGAGGUUAUUGAUUAGGUGGACGUUUAGACCAACUUUUUUAGUGCUUAGAUCGAUUAAUUUAAGAAAAUCAUCUAAAAAAAUCAUUUUGUAGACCGAUUUUUAAGACACAACAUUUGAUUCCGGUUCUGACUCUAUUAUCCGAGAUAAGUUGAGUAAUUACCUGAGGCGAAAAAUCAGCUCCAGCAUCAAUAGCUGCAUCUACUUCCAUCAAAGCAGCUUUCCAAUCACCAAGCCUUCUCGCAUCUGCGCACUUGCUCAUAUGUUUCUCAACAGCUUCAAGCUUCUGCAGUUCCAUAGGAUCUGAUGGUUUCCCAAGAAAACAAAGAUGCUUCCUUGCACUAUCAGCCUGUCCUAAUCUGCAACCAAUCAAACAAGACACAUGAAGGUUUUCAGAAAGGCAAGAGCUUUUGUCUAACAAACAUUGAAGCCUAGACUGAUUUUUUCAAUGUCUAGACCAAAUUUUUUUAGAAAAUCAUUUAAUAAAACUCGCUUAGUCGCCGCCUAGACCAAUAUUUAGAACACUGCAUUGAAGUUUCAGACAACAUAUAAAAAAAGGCAAAAGAUUUGUCUCCUCACAGCAUCGAGAAACUACCUAAUAAGCAAUGAAGCCAAACGUUGAUGAGCUCUUCCAUAGUUGGGAUCCAAUCUCAAAGCCUCUUCACACUCCUUCACAGCUUCACCGACUCGACCCAAACCCGUCAACGCAGCGGCUCGGUUGCUCCGGUAAGCCGCGUUCGCCGGCGACAAAGCUAUCGCCCUAUCGUACAACCUUAAAGCCUCGCCGAACAAACCUUUCCUAUACAUCUCGUUUCCUACUCUCUUCACUUCCUCUGCGUCCGAACCUAACAUCGCGGCGGGACUGCUUCUGAUGGAACCACCGACGGUCACCGGAGCAACAGGCUUCGCCGGAGAUACGCCGCUUCCUCCUCCGCCUCGCAUUAUGCUGCCGUGUCCGUACGUUCCCGUGCCGGAUCCGAGAACGUCGCUUCUCGAGCGGCUCUGCGUCAUUCCGGUGAGUUGGAUCUUCCCGGAGGGGCAGAUGUUUCCGGUGGGAAGCACAUUCGCCGCCGUAGCUGGAGAAGUGGCGGAGCUUUGAGUGGAAGAGGAGACGAGCGGUUGUGAGUUGGAAGUAACCGAGUCGGAUCUGGCUUGACUCGUUCUCAGGUUGCCACUACUCGAACCGGAUUGACUACCGCGAACCGAACCGGAUCUUCCGAUAACCGGGGGAUGUCUAGUUACAGAUCCUGAGGAGCUAGAGCUGCUGCUGCUUGUUGUUGUUGUGGUUGUGGUGAGUCCACGUGGCUGAGAACGGAGCGGAGAAACCGGUGAACCGAGAUCUAGCUCGCGAAAAUCCGGUUUAUUAAUUUCGGAGGUUAAUGAAUCACGGGGAGGGACCGGUUUACCUGACGGUGACAUUUUUUUAUUUUAUUUUCUGGUUAAGAAAAAAAUCAAAACGAGAUCAGUGAAUGAUGGAAGGAAACUCUAACGGACGUUUCUCGGUAAGGUUUCAAAUGGCCGUUAAUGGAGACGGCGAAGAGUGGAGAAGGAGACGAAGGGAGGAGGAUUAGAUACUAUGAAAAAAAGCACGGAAGGGAAAGUGAAAGAGAGAGAGAUGGAGAUGGGGAUCUCGUGAUUUAAAAGGGUGAAGCAAAGAAUGAAUGUGAGUGCCUAGAGAGAGAGAAGAGAGAAGGUUCACAGAAGAAGAGGAGUUGAGUGAAGAUGGAGAAGCAGACCGAAUAUUAACUUAUUCAAAAGAUAUAUAUACAAUAUUAUUGGACCAAAUCUCCAAAAUAGCACUUUUUUAAGUUUAUAUCACAAAAAUAGCAUUCAAAAACUAAAAUGACUAUAAUAGCACCUUUCUAAGCUUAUCAUUUGAAAAUUUUAAUUUUUUUAUUUUUCAAAAUUUGAAAUCUUAUCCCCAAAACCUCAUUUCUCAACUCUAAACCCAAAACCCUAAACUCUAAACCCUAAACCCUAAACUCUAAACCCUAAACCAUAAAUCCUAAACCCUAAACUCUAAACCCUAAAAUCUAAACCCUAAACCGUAAACCCUAAACCCUAAAAUCUAAACCCUAAACCCUAAACUCUAAACCCUAAACCCCAAACCCUAAAUCUUAAACCUUACCCUUUAACUCUAAACCCUAAGUUUGUGACUUUUGAUAAAACAUUAAGUGCUAUUUUUGUGACUUUUAACCUUGAGUGCUAGUUUGAGAACAUAAACUUGAUUUAGUGUUAUUUUUGUAUUUUUCUCAUAUUAUUAUCUAUUAUCUACUAUCUAUUAUCUAUUUAUAUAAAUAACAGUUUGCUGUCUACUCCUUAGGACACGUAGGAUUCCACAUACAUAAAUCAAGAUUUCUUAGGCUGACACGUGUUAAGUGAGAACAAAACUCAUCAUCAAUAUUAUUAAAACAGGAACGUGACCUAUUGAUAUAGGUUUGGUCCAACUAUUUUAAUAAAAUUAUUAAAAAAAAUUAUUAAUCAUUUAAGAUAA